This is a long non-coding RNA of Alosa sapidissima (American shad), 1177 nucleotides long. RefSeq lists it as uncharacterized. The transcript has 2 exons. The record is from RefSeq and is a predicted model, not a curated record. Lineage: Eukaryota; Metazoa; Chordata; Actinopteri; Clupeiformes; Clupeidae.
CCAAGAGCAGAUCUAGACUCACACACACCAAGAGCAGAUCUAGACCACACACACCAAGAACAGAUCUACACACACCAAGAGCAGAUCUAGACUCACACACACCAAGAGUGCUGAUCUGGAGGCAAUUUUGUGUAUCCGGGCCAGACCAGAGACGCAUGCGGGCCACAUCAGAGUGUGUUUGUGUGUGUGUGUGUGCCCUCUGCAGUCUGGCAGACCUGUCUCAGUGUGUGCAGUCUGCUGUGUACCGUUUGUGUGUGUGUGUGUAUGAGGGAUGGUAUGACUGAGGACCGUCACCCACGAAUGUGUCCUACAUACCAGCAUCUGGAAUGUAAAGGGAUGUUUUUGGUUUUGUUUGUCUGUAAUCAACUGUCCAGUUUGAAUGUAGCAUAAUAGUCAUGCCAGGUAACCAGUGCAGUCAUGCCAGGUAACCAGUGUAGUCAUGCCAGGUAACCAGUGUAACGUGCAGUAGUAAUCUAAGACCUUCGGACAUGUCAGUUUUCAAUUUGCCUGCUGCAUUCCAUAGUUAUGACUUGUCAAGAACAAGGAGGAGUUGGGAUCAGUGUGUGUGUGUGUGACUGCAGGAUAAGAUGUCUCACCAACGUAUGACAGUCACACACACACUCACACACAAAAGACACAACAUUUGACACACAUUCUGCGGGAUAACAGGUCUUAACAAUGUCUGACACACAUGAACACACACUUUGUGGGAUAACUGGUGUUAUAAACUUCGCAUGUACACACACACACACACACAGUGGGAUAACAGGUUUAGCUGCUUCUUGUCGUGACCAAAUGAAACCUUCAGGCAGCAGGAGCCAGCAGCCCCAUGGAGCCUGCAACUGCCAUGCUUUGGGAAAGGAAAAGGGGUGUGUGUGUGUGUGUGUGUGUGUUGCAGGUCCCCAGGUGUGUGUGUGUGUGUGUGUGUGUGUUGCAGGUCCCCAGGUGUGUGUGUGUGUGUAUUGCAGGUCCCCAGGUGUUUGGUUGCAUAUUUAUGAUAACAUUUUGUAGUCUCUCUAAUUGACCACUGUUUCUUAAGUUUCGCUCCAGAGUGGGAGAUGGGAAAAGUGAUCUCUUAUCUGUUCACAUUAUUUUCAUGUAAAAAUGAUCUACAGCUAUGAAAAAAGCUGUUAUGAUGGUAAUCAUGACUUUUGAAUAAAUUCAUGUUUAACAAUAA